Molecule: long non-coding RNA, 296 nt
Filed under: Lathyrus oleraceus (garden pea)
Lineage: Eukaryota; Viridiplantae; Streptophyta; Magnoliopsida; Fabales; Fabaceae
Description: Pisum sativum (pea) long non-coding RNA (PSAT_LNC022788)
Source: RNAcentral
AAAAUAACAUUAGUUUAUCUUGGAAAUAUUUUCAGAAAAAUAAAUAUAAGUUGGAUAAAAAAUAAAGUGAAAUGGAAAAAAAAGGGUGAAAAUAAAUAAAAUAAGAGUGAAAGAAAUAAAAAGAGAAAAGAAUGCAUGUGCUGGGGGUUGAACCCCUGACCUUAGGGUCAUGGGGGAUCAACCCCCUCUCCCACUGGGCCAAGCGCCCACUUGUGAUCAUAAACACGCUAAUGAAAUAAAAUAUCAAAGUCAAACAAUAAAAACAAAACGUGUACAGGACAACCAAUCAGGACAUG